AUUAGUGACGAUAUCGAAGUGGAAAUACCUGUUCCCAUCCCGAACACAGAAGUCAAGCACUUCAGAGCCGAAAAUAGUGUAAGCAAAAAUAGGACGUCGCUAAUU
RNAcentral lists this ribosomal RNA (105 nucleotides) under Bacilli bacterium. The record is from RNAcentral. Lineage: Bacteria; Bacillati; Bacillota; Bacilli.